CUGUACCGUAACUUCGGGAGAAGGUACGCUGCUGACGGUGAUGGGACUUGCUCCCUGAGCGGUUGGCAGCCGCAGAAACCAGGCCGCUGCAACUGUUUAUUAAAAACAUAGCACUCUGCAAACACGAAAGUGGACGUAUAGGGUGUGAUGCCUGCCCGGUGCUGGAAGGUUAAUUGAUGGGGUUAGCGUAAGCGAAGCUCUUGAUCGAAGCCCCAGUAAACGGCGGCCGUAACGAUAACGGUCCUAAGGUAGCGAAAUUCCUUGUCGGGUAAGUUCCGACCUGCACGAAUGGCAUAAUGAUGGCGGCGCUGUCUCCAGCAGAGGCUCAGUGAAAUCGAAAUCGCUGUGAAGAUGCAGUGUACCCGCGGCUAGACGGAAAGACCCCGUGAACCUUUACUGCAGCUUGACAUUGAACUUUGACCUUACUUGUGUAGGAUAGGUGGGAGGCUUUGAAGUUGGAACGCCAGUUCCAAUGGAGCCGUCCUUGAAAUACCACCCUGGUAAUGUUGAGGUUCUAACUCUGCCCCGUAAUCCGGGGCGAGGACCAUGUCUGGUGGGUAGUUUGACUGGGGCGGUCUCCUCCUAAAGAGUAACGGAGGAGUACGAAGGUGCGCUCAGCGUGGUCGGAAAUCACGCGUAGAGUAUAAAGGCAAAAGCGCGCUUAACUGCGAGACCCACAAGUCGAGCAGGUACGAAAGUAGGUCUUAGUGAUCCGGUGGUUCUGUAUGGAAGGGCCAUCGCUCAACGGAUAAAAGGUACUCUGGGGAUAACAGGCUGAUACCGCCCAAGAGUUCAUAUCGACGGCGGUGUUUGGCACCUCGAUGUCGGCUCAUCUCAUCCUGGGGCUGAAGCAGGUCCCAAGGGUAUGGCUGUUCGCCAUUUAAAGAGGUACGCGAGCUGGGUUUAGAACGUCGUGAGACAGUUCGGUCCCUAUCUACCGUGGGCGCUGGAAAUUUGAGAGGAUCUGCUCCUAGUACGAGAGGACCAGAGUGGACGAACCUCUGGUGUACCGGUUGUGACGCCAGUGGCAUCGCCGGGUAGCUAUGUUCGGAAGGGAUAACCGCUGAAAGCAUCUAAGCGGGAAGCCUACCUCAAGAUAAGAUUUCCCUAGGAAUUUAUUCCUCUAAAGAGCCGUUCGAGACCAGGACGUUGAUAGGUUGGGUGUGGAAGCACGGUGACGUGUGAAGCUGACCAAUACUAAUUGCUCGUGAGGCUUGACUC
This 1221-nucleotide ribosomal RNA is filed under the name metagenome. RNAcentral's name for it is "bacterial LSU rRNA". It matches the Rfam family "Bacterial large subunit ribosomal RNA", at positions 1723 to 2925 of the family's 2925-position model. The record is from RNAcentral.